AUUAUUAUUAUUAUGAGCGUUGAUAUACCUCUAUUUUUUACUGCUUUUAGCUAUGAUUGAGGUAUAGGUUAUAAAGUCUAUUUGUUAUUCCUAAAGUCUUUUCUAGUCAUUUUCAGGUUUUUACAUGUUUGGGAUGCAUUUGGAGUUUAUGGAUCAUUAUGGAGGAAAACAGAGAACUUAUGCUGCAGAAGAAAUCCGGAGACCAAAAAAUCACGAAGGUGUCGAGCGACACCAAUACCUGACGACAAUUAAAAUACGCAACUUGUUGAAGUUUUGAAGAUUUCUAAAUUUGUCCCAGAACGUUUCCUUAUUUUUAAAGAAAUCCCUGCACGUUUUAGGACAUAUAUAUUAAUAUAUAUAUAUAUAUAUA
This 370-nucleotide small RNA is filed under the name Arabidopsis thaliana (thale cress). Its description in RNAcentral is "ATSL156610". Lineage: Eukaryota; Viridiplantae; Streptophyta; Magnoliopsida; Brassicales; Brassicaceae. The record is from RNAcentral.